UUCUUAUAGUUCAAUUUUAUAACGGUGGCUUUUCAAGUCACAGAUCUUGGAGAAAUACCAAGUAAGAAU
This 69-nucleotide transfer RNA is filed under the name Coturnicops exquisitus. RNAcentral describes it as "tRNA-Glu". It matches the Rfam family "tRNA". Rfam says of the family: Transfer RNA (tRNA) molecules are approximately 80 nucleotides in length. Their secondary structure includes four short double-helical elements and three loops (D, anti-codon, and T loops). Further hydrogen bonds mediate the characteristic L-shaped molecular structure. tRNAs have two regions of fundamental functional importance: the anti-codon, which is responsible for specific mRNA codon recognition, and the 3' end, to which the tRNAs corresponding amino acid is attached (by aminoacyl-tRNA synthetases). tRNAs cope with the degeneracy of the genetic code in two manners: having more than one tRNA (with a specific anti-codon) for a particular amino acid; and 'wobble' base-pairing, i.e. permitting non-standard base-pairing at the 3rd anti-codon position. Lineage: Eukaryota; Metazoa; Chordata; Aves; Gruiformes; Rallidae. The record is from RNAcentral.